RNAcentral lists this ribosomal RNA (253 nucleotides) under uncultured bacterium. Its description in RNAcentral is "partial 16S ribosomal RNA". It matches the Rfam family "Bacterial small subunit ribosomal RNA", at positions 524 to 776 of the family's 1533-position model. The record is from RNAcentral.
GACAGAGGGGGCAAGCGUUGCUCGGAAUUACUGGGCGUAAAGGGCGCGUAGGCGGCCGAGCAAGUUAGAUGUGAAAGUCCUGGGCUUAACCUGGGGACUGCAUUUGAUACUGCUUGGCUUGAAUUCGGGAGAGGAUAGCGGAAUUCCCAGUGUAGAGGUGAAAUUCGUAGAUAUUGGGAAGAACACCGGUGGCGAAGGCGGCUAUCUGGACCGACAUUGACGCUGAGGCGCGAAAGCGUGGGGAGCAAACAGG